RNAcentral lists this ribosomal RNA (502 nucleotides) under uncultured bacterium. RNAcentral describes it as "partial 16S ribosomal RNA". It matches the Rfam family "Bacterial small subunit ribosomal RNA", at positions 28 to 507 of the family's 1533-position model. The record is from RNAcentral.
GACGAACGCUGGCGGCGUGCUUAACACAUGCAAGUCGAACGGUGAAGGGGUCUGCUUUUGUGGGCCCUGGAUGAGUGGCGAACUGGUGAGUAACACGUUAGUAACCUGCCCCCUUCUUCUGUAUAACCGCAUGAAAGUGUGGCUAAUACGGGAUAUUCUGGGUCUGUCGCAUGAUGGGUCUGGGAAAGAUUGCGCCUUUGGGUGUUUUUGGUGGGGGAUGGGGUCGCGGCCUAUCAGCUUGUUGGUGGGGUGAUGGCCUACCAAGGCGGUGACGGGUAGCCGGGAUGAGGGGGUGGACGGUCACAAUGGGACUGAGACACUGCCCAGAAUGCUACGGGAGGGAGCAGUGGGGAAUAUAACGCGAUGGGCGCAAGCCGGAUGCAGCGACGCCGGGGGAGAGAUGGAGGCGUUCGGGUUGUAAACCUCUUACGGAAGUGAAGGAGGUGUGGUAAUUGUGAGUGGGUGGACGGUAGAUGGAUAAGAAGCGCCGGCUAACUACGUG